AGGAACAUGGGGGAGGAUAGUGAAUGAUUCUAUAAAGUGAAAGAGGCCUUAAUUUGUAUGUUGUCUAGGGUUGGGGUCGGCACAUCUCUUCCCACAAUGCCUGGGGUCACCCAAAGGGCAUCAAGUGUCCCAAAUUCUUCAUGCCAAACUGGUCUCUGUUUUCACUGGCAUUUAUGGAAAGCCUGUAGUGCCUAAGCCUACUGGGGAGAGGAACUGGGUCUGAGGGUGAUCACCAACAAAAGAGCUGAAGCAGUUGUCAUUCCUCUCCCAACCCCGGGCAAAUAAUCUGCAAAUAGUUCAGAAAUGGAUGCUGCUGAAACAUGGGCCUGGCUAUCUGGGUUUGAAUCUUAACUUCACCUCUAAUGUGUUGUGUGAUCUUGAGUCUCACAAGGAAAUUGAGGCUGGUAACAUCCCCUUCUUACAGGGUACUGAGAUGGCCACUGUAGAAGAGACCAAUAAGGUACCUCACCUACUGCCUAGCACAUGGGAGGAGCCGCGGCCCACGGACACCGUGUGCUCAUACUGCAGCCUCACCUGCUCGCACAGGCAGAUGGACACAACAAGGGCGCCAAAUCGCUCACCUCCCAGAAUCACAAUCUUCCUGCGUGUCUCCUCACUCAUGAAUGGCUUGACCAAGUUGAAGACCACGGGGAACAGUUUGGGGGCUGAAACACAUGUAAAUCUCUUGAGAAGCUAGACCAGAAAGGACGUGGGGAUACAGAGCCACAACCAAGAGCAGGUGCUGGACAGGAUUGGACAGAUAUGGCUGCCACUCUCUGAUGUGUGACCUUCAGCAAGUUACCCACCCUCUCUAAGUCUUAGUGCAGUUAACUGGAAAAUGAAGGUGAAAUAAUGUAUGUAUAACACCUGGC
Molecule: non-coding RNA, 872 nt
Filed under: Pongo abelii (Sumatran orangutan)
Lineage: Eukaryota; Metazoa; Chordata; Mammalia; Primates; Hominidae
Source: RNAcentral